UUGCCUCCAUUUAAUUAAAAUGUUAGUUAUCACGCAAAGCGUCAUUCUUGGAUAUGUUCAAUUUGACGCUAGCAUGAUUUUAGACACUUAAGUUGUGUUCUAGUAUUAACCAAAGAACUUUGUCGAGGUCGUUUUCUGGCUUUGAAUCUAAUAUCUAUAUGUAAUAUAAGGUUUUUAGCUAUAUUUAUGAUCAUUUAAUUU
This 201-nucleotide long non-coding RNA is filed under the name Carica papaya (papaya). RNAcentral's name for it is "long non-coding RNA (CPAP_LNC009765)". Lineage: Eukaryota; Viridiplantae; Streptophyta; Magnoliopsida; Brassicales; Caricaceae. The record is from RNAcentral.